GUCGUACGAGGGUUUUUAACUCAAGUGGCGGACGGGUGAGUAACACGUAAGAAUUUGCCUUUAGGAGGGGGACAACAAUGAGAAAUUAUUGCUAAUACCCCAUAUGCUUUCGAGUGAAAUGGAUUUUUUCCGCCUAGAGAGAAGCUUGCGGCUGAUUAGCUUGUUGGUGAGGUAAUGGCUUACCAAGGCGACGAUCAGUAUCUGGUUUGAGAGGACGAUCAGACACACUGGAACUGAGACACGGUCCAGACUCCUGCGGGAGGCAGCAGUGGGGAAUUUUCCGCAAUGGGCGAAAGCCUGACGGAGCAAUCUCGCGUGAGGGAUGACUGCCUAUGGGUUGUAAACCUCUUUUUUCAGGGAGGAAUAAAUGACGUGUACCUGAAGAAUAAGCAUCGGCUAACUCCGUGCCAGCAGCCGCGGUAAUACGGGGGAUGCAAGUGUUAUCCGGAAUCACUGGGCGUAAAGCGUCUGUAGGUGGUUUAAUAAGUCAACUGUUAAAUCUUGAAGCUCAACUUCAAAAUCGCAGUCGAAACUAUUAGACUAGAGUAUAGUAGGGGUAAAGGGAAUUUCCAGUGGAGCGGUGAAAUGCGUAGAGAUUGGAAAGAACACCGAUGGCGAAGGCACUUUACUGGGCUAUUACUGACACUCAGAGACGAAAGCUAGGGUAGCAAAUGGGAUUAGAUACCCCAGUAGUCCUAGCUGUAAACAAUGGAUACUAGAUGUUGAACAGAUCGACCUGUGCAGUGUCAAAGCUAACGCGUUAAGUAUCCCGCCUGGGAAGUAUGCUCGCAAGAGUGAAACUCAAAGGAAUUGACGGGGGCCCGCACAAGCGUUGGAGCAUGUGUUUAAAUUCGAUGCAACGCGAAAAACCUUACCAAGGGUUUGACAUGAUAACGAAUUCCUUGAAAGAAGAAGGCCAUUUAUGGAACGUAUAACAAGGUGGUGCAUGCCUGUCGUCAGCUCGUGUCGUGAAGAAGUUGGGUUAAGUCCCGCAACGAGCCGCAACCCUCAUUUUUAAGUGCCUAUGAAACUCUUAAAAAGACUGCUGGUUAUAAACCGAAGAAGCCGGGGAUGACGUCAAGUCAGCAUGCCCUACACCCUGGCUACACACGUGCUACAAUGGUUGAACACAUGAAGCUAUCUGCAAAACAGCAAUCAUAAACUCAUUCUAAUUCGGAAUGAGGCGCACACUCCCCGCACUGAAUGAAUGUCGAAAAUCGUGCACAAUACCGGGGUAAUCUUCCGGGCCUGUAAAAACCACGCCG
This 1265-nucleotide ribosomal RNA is filed under the name uncultured phototrophic eukaryote. RNAcentral's name for it is "partial 16S ribosomal RNA". It matches the Rfam family "Bacterial small subunit ribosomal RNA", at positions 61 to 1396 of the family's 1533-position model. The record is from RNAcentral.